Molecule: non-coding RNA, 182 nt
Organism: Miniopterus natalensis
Lineage: Eukaryota; Metazoa; Chordata; Mammalia; Chiroptera; Miniopteridae
Source: RefSeq, a predicted model, not a curated record
UGACCGUCCGCGCCCUGUGCGGAGCGCAGCGUUUUCUGUCGUCAGGUUCCCACCCCUCUCCGUGCCAACCAGGAUGCAGUUUUGCCUUUAUAUUUGAUCUAUUGAGACUGUUCGGGGCUGCGAGCUUGUUUAGGACAGGAGUCCACUCACAGUCACUGGCUAAUAAAUCUCCAAACACUCAA